Molecule: long non-coding RNA, 5539 nt
Organism: Chiloscyllium plagiosum (whitespotted bambooshark)
Lineage: Eukaryota; Metazoa; Chordata; Chondrichthyes; Orectolobiformes; Hemiscylliidae
Source: RefSeq, a predicted model, not a curated record
ACUCCGGAAAGUUGCCCAGUUUGCUACACUUGAUUUGGACUUCGGAUACUGAAGCCUUCUUGUCUGGUCCGUGAUCUACCACACGGGCUUAAUUUGUUUACAAAUAGCAGUGUUGUUUGUUUUUAUGGUGUGUGCGUGUCUAUUAUCGGGACUUGGGCCACAUAUUGGAGUGAGAUUGUGAUUGCGAGGUUUUGAUUUAGUAUUUUAGUUCCCUCCCUGGGCUGUCGAUCUGGGUCUGACGGCUAGUCAAACGCAUUCCCUGGCAUCGUUUCCAGCCCCGGACUAAUUUCCAGCUCUGCUCGUUCAUGUUGUCAGCUGGAUCUUUCGGUUCUCGUAAGGAUCUGCAGAAGUGUUCACAAGCCACCUGGUCGCAAAUCAAAGAAGAUUGACAGAACUUUGUUCAAUUACAUUAACAACGUCGAAAGUAGCGUACUUCAAGAGAAAAUAUGCAGAAGAAGAAGAUUUGCAUAAAGUUUACAAUGGGUACUUUCCAAAAAACCUGAUCUUUCCAGAAGAUCGAACAUGUAUUCUAAGGCUUUCACUAGAAAAACUAAGGAUUCUUGAAGACCCUGAAAUCUAUCUUCGAAGGGCUGUUUUAAUAAACAAUUUAUUGAGGAAAAUCCACAUUGAAACAGAGAAAGAAGUGUAUGACUAUGCUGAACAGUUUAAUAAGGCUUCAAAGCAUCUCUAUUCUGAUGCACAGAAAAGAGUGAAGUAUAUGAUCAAGGAUUGUAAUGAAUGUUCCGAAUCUUUGUAUUAUGACGAGAUUGGUUCAUAUUCCAUUGUGCCUUUUUCUUCAAAUAAUGUCAUCUAUGGACUUGGUUAUCCAAAUGACUAUUUGGGAAAAAGUACUUUCUAAAAUGGAAUUCCAAAGAGGAUGAUGACUCGUUAGAUUUAGACCUCUGUCAUUCUGUGCUUGGCAGAGAUGAAGCUUUGGAAACCAACAUAUUCAUUCACUGAAAAAUAACAGUGAAUCUGCACACAAGAUCUAAUGGAUGUGGUCUGGUUGGAAAAUUGGUGACUUUAUAAAUCAGUAAAGUGAGAGCACUUAUGUUAAUCUUUGUUUUUGAUCAGAUCUGUUUGGAGCAUCAUGUAUUAAUGUGCAGUGUUUUUUUAUUGCUAAGUAUGGACUAUGUAGAGAUUAUCUUAAUAGAACCAGUACAAAAUGGUGAUUUAUUGAUUUUACUCUCUAUUUUUAUUUUGUCAUCUCAUUUCUUCAUUAUUUCCACUAUUUCACCCCUUUCUGUGGUUGGGUAACAGGAUGAAAUGGAAGCUUCACUGCCAUUUUUAAUGCUGCUUCCUGGAGGCUGGGUUCUGCCAGCUUUUUCUUGUUGCUGGUGAUGCAGUACUCAGUCAUAUGACUAGAAAUUAAUCUUACCCAAGUAGAGGUAGGCACGCUUAGGUAACCAUUGAGGCUGCCAUUUUGAACAAUAAUCUCCAAAGGAGGUUUAGAUGCUCCACUUCUGGGGCUUUUUGGGUCAACAUAAAAAUAGUGCUAUGGUGAGUGUUUGUCAGUUAAUACUUCACAUAGCUAAUCUUUUCAGUAAGGGAGAUUGCUUGAAAGCUGUAUCUAUGUAGAAAUUGUGACGUACAUUGUAAUAUUAAUUUAUCAGUACACAAUAGAUUAUUUUGUUUAGAUAAAAUCUCCAAAACAGAGUUAUGAAAAAAGCUUCUUGAAUGGUCAUACUUUAAAAGUGAAUUAAAAUCCAAAGGCAGGGUAGUGUAAAAUGAAGAUAAAUAAUCAAUUGUGCAGGAACUUUACAGACUAAAACAACUGGAUUUGAUUCCAAAAUCCUUUUUGAAUGGAGUACAAUCACCAUUUAUUAGUCACUUGUAAGACUGCUAAGUAAGUUGUCAUUUUUAGCCAUCUAAUAACAACUUCAAUAGACUUUUAUACUUUUAUCAUCUCUUCAGUUGUGAUCCCUUAUGGAAUUGUUGUCAACAAAUGUAUUUGAUGUAUUGUACCUUUAAAGAUAAUAAGAACUAAAACUUGUACCAUGGACCAGCUUGAGUUCUUUACUAUAUCUGCUGCAAUUUGGAACAGAACCAAGCUCCUGAAGUAUCUGAUAUGGUAUAGAAACAAUAGUGGUUGGAUUAUAUUUGUGUGUCACAGAAGGUUACUGCCAGAGAUGUAAUUGAAUUUAAAAGAAAACCACAAUUAAAUUUGUUAGACUAUGCCUUUUCUGCAAAAUAGAAACUUAAAUGGUGGAUUGAGUGGCAGUAUUAUAACUGUAGUAUGUAUAGCUAUGGCUGAGUUGAGUAAUACAUUCAAACUGGUACAUCAUUAAGUAUCUUAGGCACAAAUUAGCUCCCAAAUUUGCUGAUGGCAUUAUUAUUACUAAAGAAAGCUCCAUUAGCCAAAUUAUAUUGCCAAUUUCACCUGCAACUUUCCCAAGAUGUUGCAAUAAAAUUUCUACGAUUCAUCACAAAGUAUGUCUCUGAACAUGUCCACAUGUUUUCUCCGUUGUGCAAUCUGGAAAAGACUGCAAAUUAAUUAGAUACCAAUUUUAUGAACAUUUUAUAUUUACUCAUCAUAUCAAUUACUUCAUUUUCUGGUUAACUGGACACUAAAGUUAAUUAAUUCCACUGCACUAGUCCUUAGCACAAGCCAGGGGUAAAUGUGGCUCAGCUAAGACCUCCAAGACCAUGCUUUUCCAUUCAGUACAGUUAAUAGUGGGUUGGGAAUGAACAACUUUGCAAUUGGCACUCAUGAGCCAAGGAUUGAUCUAGCAGAAUUUGCACCCUAGAGUUCUCCAUUCAUUUGCAACUUCUGAGUUUUCAUUUUGUAAUUGGACAGUGUUCUGUGAACUUUAUUGUGAAUCUCCCAAUUUUAUAUCCUUUUAUGUCUGUUAUACUGUUUUCUCUCCUCCCAUGUCCUAAAAUUGUUGGGUUCCACAGUACUCAUAGUCCUCUGCUAUUUCACCAAGUUUGAUAUUAUUCAUGUGUGGGUCUGUAGUGACAAUGGGCAGAAUCACAUUUCAAUCCAAUCCUUGUCUUCACUCAUGGUAUAAUUUCCAGCAGAAGUCAUUAGAUAGCAGUCAGGGCCAGGAAUCUGAGUUGAUUUUCUUUCUAUCUCCUAGGGAUGAAGGUAGCAUGGCCAGUUGUGGUGUUUGAACUGAAGUACAGGAAAAGCUGUUUCUUAACAGCCUGCAUUUAUUGUCAUCAUUUAGUGAAUGUCAAUGGAUAAUAGGUUCAGAAGGAACCUAUGUUUUACACGUUGCUUGUAUAAAACAGUAUGAUACUAGAGGAUGCAAGGUUUUUCUAGGUCCUCUCCCUCCUUGAUGCAACCAAUGAUUUCCCAUUAAUAAAGUGAAAAGCCUCCAUUUACAGUACCUUGUGCUUUUCUGGGCCUCAGAAAGUCCCAAAGCGCUUUACAGCCAAUUAAGUACCUUUUCAAUUGUUUUGAUGCUGCAAAUUACAAUUAAAACUACUUUAGACUUUUAAAAAAUUAGUUUAAUAUAAUUAAAUUUCAUGCAAUAAUGUGUGCUCAAGUUAAAAUUAACCACAUAAAUAAUUUGGGACAUAGGAAAUAUGGCAGGAGAAAUUAAAGUCAUGGCCAUCCUCUGCAUCUGAAAAUCAGACAUCUGAAAGUCAGGAGGUGGUUGUCGAAAGAGUGGAGGUGCAUCUGAUGCCACAUGCAGCUUAAACUGUAAAUAGGUAAUCAUCAUUUUCAUAAUGCAGGUUAUAGGGUCAUGAUGAAAAUAAUCAUGAAUAAAUAAGUAGAUCACACAAGCUGUUCCUAGUUGCACAAUGUCUUGGAUAGCCUAACCAAUUGAUUGGCAAUAGGAUACCAUUUGCUGCCUCAGCCUGCUGCUUCUGCUCAAAGAGGGCUUACACCCUUUGGUUCAGUCCUGAGGCAAGAAUGGACCAAAAUGCCCAGUUUGGAUGCAAGUUGAAUUUCUACUUGCAAUGCUUUUAAUUAACAUUUAAGGUUGGAUUUAAAAGGUACCAAAUUUACAUUUUGAGGAUUAUAACAACAUCUUGAACCAUUUUCUUUAACAUUCAUCAAUCUUUGCAUUUCUUCAAAUAAAUUUUGUACUGCAGAAAUCAUUAGUAUUUGUGACAUGCUAUAUGCAUUUUAAAUGCUUGUUGUCUUCUCAGAAGAUUAAUGGUCUGGCCAGAACUAAAUAUACAGCUGCAUCACCAUGGCAGUUGCAUUGAGAAUCUGUUCAUGUUUUACUUUUGUUUCAUCAUUGUCUAAGUCUCAGGUCUGACAUUUAUGUACUCAUGUCUGAAGCCAAAAAGUUUCUUUUUCGUUUCCAGGAAUUUUCUUUCAAAGAAAAGUAGAAAAUCUGCAGGCACUUUGUGGCUUGGAUUCAGCUCUGAAGUUUUUCAAAGCGUAGUUACUUUUGCACUAGCUUUACAUUGCUAUCUUAACAUAAAACUUACAUUUAUUCUCAAUUCUGAUUUCUCAUUUUGUAAGUUAUUAUUGCAACAUUAUGCAAUGUUUAUGCAAAUUUUAUGUAAAAAAAUCAAGAUUUAAAAUGCUGAUUUACAAGACUGCCAUCCCAGUAAGCUGCCUUUGGACUUUCUCGACUGUACAACUCUAGUGUUAGUAGAACCACCACAGACUCAUUUGUACUGCUAAAUUUAAUGUAAACCUAUUACCAACAUCAUAUGAUGGACUAAAGAAAUUAUUACUUGGCUGAAAACUCUGUAACUUGGUCUUUUUUCAUUAUAAUAAAUAUUCUUAUCUUCCACUGUAAUCUAACAGUGUGGUUCUCAUAAAGGUAGUCAAAUAGUUCUAGUAAUUCUUCACACACUCCUAUUGAUCUAAUGAGUCUACUUGGAUUAUAGGCAUCAGUUUGCCAUAUCAUUGUAAGUCUCUGAGUUGGCUCCAAACUUGUAUGGCCACAAAGACUCAAAAUUCUUGAGAUGAAGAGACCUUUUUUUUACAAAUGCUACUUAUAUAUUUAGUGAUAGGAUACUUAACUCAAAGCUUUAAAAAAAUGGGAGUUCUUCAAGUUUGCUCCAUGAUAGUUGUGGUUAUUUUAGUCGAAAGGAAGCAAAUAGUUUGAUACAAUCUCCUUAAACACCAUUUCUGUUAAAUUGAGUUGGGAAACAAUCACUAUAUAAACUUAGGAGUUCAAAUGCAAAACUCUCUGAAGUGGAUAAAGUCAUAAAAAAGCAGAGAUAAUAAACUUUCAAGUUAAUGAUUAAACCAUUCUUGUAGUAUUUUAUGCAUUUUAGCUAUUCCAACAAAAUAAAACUACAAUAAAGAGUGCACAGUGUAUAUCCACCAAGAUAGCCUCAGAAAUGGGAAAUUAUAAAUAUUGGGACAGAUUCUAAUGUAGCAGAGAAAUUGAAUAGGUUUAAGUGUGUUUUUUUGUAAAUUAUGAGAAAUUUUGGGAAAAAACUAAGAUUAUAUUAUUUUCUGUAGUUUAUGGAUCAGUGAUGUGGGGUUUAUCUUCUUCAAACUUAUAAUGCAUCAGGAUAAAGUUUGUAUUUACAGUCAUCAAAUCAUUACUUACAGAUUAGAAUACUUACAGUGUGGAAACAGGCCCUUCGGCCCAACAAGUCCACACUGACCCUCUGAAGA